AGCCUGAACGCUGGCGGCGUGGCUAAGACAUGCAAGUCGCACGGGCGUAGCAAUACGUCAGUGGCGGACGGGUGAGUAAAGUAUCGCUAAUGUACCCCGGACACCGGGAUAGCCGAGGGAAACUUCGGGUAAUACCGGAUGCCAUGGUUUUGUCGCAUGACAGAGCCCUGAAAGGUCCGCCGGUCCGGGAGCAGGCGAUAUCGUAUCAGCUAGUUGGCGGGGUAACGGCCCACCAAGGCGACGACGCGUAGCCGGACUGAGAGGUUGGCCGGCCACAUUGGGACUGAGACACUGCCCAGACUCCUACGGGGGGCUGCAGUAACGAAUCUUCCGCAAUGCACGAAAGUGUGACGGAGCGACGCCGCGUGGUGGGACGAAGCCCGUUCGGGGUGUAAACCACUGUCAGGGGUAGGAAAGUUCUGAUCCGCCCCAGAGGAAGGCGACGGCUAACUCUGCGCCAGCAGCCGC
This 468-nucleotide ribosomal RNA is filed under the name uncultured bacterium. RNAcentral's name for it is "SSU rRNA". It matches the Rfam family "Bacterial small subunit ribosomal RNA", at positions 26 to 518 of the family's 1533-position model. The record is from RNAcentral.